UAGGCUGCAACUCGCCUACAUGAAGCUGGAAUUGCUAGUAAUGGCAGGUCAGCAUACUGCCGUGAAUACGUUCCCGGGCCUUGUACACACCGCCCGUCACACCAUGAGAGUUGGGAAUACCCGAAGCCUGUGAGCUAACUUAUAGAGGCAGCAGUCGAAGGUAGAAUCAAUGAUUGGGGUGAAGUCGUAACAAGGUAUC
Molecule: ribosomal RNA, 199 nt
Filed under: uncultured bacterium
Lineage: Bacteria
Description: partial 16S ribosomal RNA
Rfam family: Bacterial small subunit ribosomal RNA
Source: RNAcentral